Molecule: long non-coding RNA, 342 nt
Organism: Quercus lobata
Lineage: Eukaryota; Viridiplantae; Streptophyta; Magnoliopsida; Fagales; Fagaceae
Exons: 2
Source: RefSeq, a predicted model, not a curated record
GGAAGGUUGGAAUACCAACAAGCUUGCGCUAGCGGAACAAAAUCAGAUUUAUUCAGGAAACGAGGUCACUCUUGAGAUUCAAGAAUCAGCUCGCAGCAAUGGACGCUGAACUUUUCAAUUCUACAAUUUCUGGGAAUGAAAUUAGCUUUGCUUCAAAUCCCGAGCAGUUGACAGCCGGGGGGAACUCUGUUCUUCACGUGGCAGCAAAAUCUGGAAAUGUGCAUAUCAUGGAAAAGGUCCUUGAUUGGCAUCCACCACUUCUGUAUAUGACAAAUUUCAAAGGCAACACUGCACUACAUAUUACAGCAAGCUUAGGGCAUUCUGACACGACAAAGCUGCUAA